GCAAACUUGGUCAUUUAGAGGAAGUAAAAGUCGUAACAAGGUUUCCGUAGGUGAACCUGCGGAAGGAUCAUUAAAAAAAAAAGACAAGAGCCGCCGGGAAACCGGUGCGCUUGAGUUUUAAACCCUCUGUGUACCUUUACCACUGUUGCUUCCCGUCUGGGCUCUGCCCGGGCGGGGAGGUCCAACCAAACUCUUGUUUUUUUUGUUGCAGUCAGUAUGAGCGGCUUGUCCGCGAUAAAUUAAAAGUUAAAACUUUCAACAACGGAUCUCUUGGUUCUCGCAUCGAUGAAGAACGCAGC
RNAcentral lists this unclassified non-coding RNA (299 nucleotides) under uncultured fungus. RNAcentral describes it as "partial contains small subunit ribosomal RNA, internal transcribed spacer 1, and 5.8S ribosomal RNA". The stretch from base 1 to 73 matches the Rfam family "Eukaryotic small subunit ribosomal RNA", at positions 1759 to 1831 of the family's 1831-position model. Lineage: Eukaryota; Fungi. The record is from RNAcentral.